This is a non-coding RNA of Caretta caretta (loggerhead turtle), 3023 nucleotides long. Lineage: Eukaryota; Metazoa; Chordata; Testudines; Cheloniidae. The record is from RefSeq and is a predicted model, not a curated record.
GGCCAAUGGCAGGGCAGGGGCGGGGCUGAGUGGGAGGGUCUAAGCCAAUACGGGGCGUGACCUGGGAGCCCGCGCCAUGGCGGAGCAGGUUGGCCCUGCCCCACCCCCCAUCUACGUGGGGGGCAGCAGUAGCAGUGACAGCGAGGAGGAGCUUGUGAGACCCCCAAGGGGGGCAGUGGGGCAGCCGCGCCCCAAGCGCCGGCGUGUUCUGUGCAGCACCGAGGUCCCCGCUGUGCCUGUCUACUCGAACAAGGUGAACAGCAGCUUCCAGCUGUGCCCUGCGGAGCUGCACCCGGAGGUGCCCACCCUGCAGUGGCAGGGAGGGGCAGAUCUGGACGUGGAUGAGAUUGGCCCUGUCACGCCCCCCCGGCCGGAGCGGCCUCAUGCCCCACGCCUCCCCCAGGGCCCCUGCACUGACUGGCUGGAGGAGGAGCCGCAGCAGCAGCAGGGGGUAGUGAGAACAGUCCGGGACGAGUCCCCCUCUCCCCCACCACAGCCCACACGCAGACAGAGGGGCCGGACCCGCCGGGAGGUGGCACGCCAGCUGCGGGGUCUCCGCACGUGGCUCUCGGCCGCCCAGCGCAGCCUGCGGGAGGAGCCGCCCGAGGAUGACGUGAUCCUGGUGGAGCCGCCCCCAUGCCCCGUGCCCCGGCAGCUGCAGCUCAAGGUGCGGUGCCGGGCCGAGAUCCACCGUGUCGCCGUGGAGAUGUCACAGCCCCUGCAUGCAGUGGUGGAGCACAUGGCCGGGAGGCUGCAGGUCCGGCCAGAGCAGAUCCUGCUGCUGCUGCGAGACGUCGAACUGCCCCCCAGCAGCACCCCCCAGGGCCUGGGCCUGGGCGUGGCCGACAUCAUCGGGUCGGCCACUUGGCCUCACCACCUGCUUGGACUGGACCUCUGGGCUGCAGCCUCCUGCUUCCCCCGUGAGCUCUGCCCAGCGAGUCCCGCUGAGCCAGACCCUGGCAGAGACGCGCCCACGCUGCCGGGACGGUGCCCUCACCCAGCGUGGCAGGGACAGUCCCUCAACACUGGCGCACAGUCAGGUGUGUUAGUCAGCUGGGCAAGGCACAGGGAGCCCUUAGGGUCGCGCAGAGGGGUGCAGGUUACAGCCCAGUCCAUUCUGCUCAGCCCAGAGCCCCGCCAGGCUGUGGGGAAACCCUUGGGUCAGGUUCUGUCUAUCGCUCACUCGCUCUCUGACUUCCUUCCUGAGUCUGUUCCCGGGUGAGAGCCCCCAGCGCCCACACUGCUCCCCCCACCUUGCCCCUCCCAGGCCCUGGUUCUCCAGCCGGGGUCUGUGCCCAGCUUCCCGCUGGGAGCGUGGAGCCAGGAGUCAAGAGCGCAGCCAGCCGCGCUCUCUGGCCCCCUUGCUGACCUGGGGCAGUUUCAGCCAGUUCCUUAAUGACUGUUCGUUCCACCAGCCAGGGCGGUGAUGCACGUACCUGUGUCUUAGGCUGCCCUGAGAGCAAACUUAGUCCUUCCCCCCCGCACUGAGUAGCUGUGCAAAGUAUAGGGGAAACUGAGGCAGGCGUGAGACUCCCACAGAUGCUACAGAAAAUUCCCCCUUCGUCACAGGGAUCAGUUAUUCUCCGUGUUCACUGGAGGUAGGUGUCACGGAGUCCCUGGGCGAUGCUCUGGAACUGCUCCCCAUGAAGUCAGUCAGGACUCUGGGGUAGUCGCCUUUCUGUGAGCAGCCUGUCUUCAGGACACACAGCUCACACAGCUUCCACCUUCCUGGGUCUGACCUCAGAGCAUUCAGCAUCCUCUGCCCCUCCGUGCGCUUUCCCCCAGCGAGUCCGCACAGGCGGGGCUCCUGGGGAAGCCAGAGGGUCCUGCACCCCAACUUCGCAGUCAGACGUGACUCUCAGCCAGCCAGUAAAACAGAAGGUUUAUUAGACGACAGGAACAUGGUCUAAAACAGAGCUUGCAGGUGCAGAGAACGGGACCCCUCAGCUGGGUCCAUUCUGGGGGGCAGUGAGCCAGACAACCACGUCUGCACCUCACUCCAUGUCCCAGCCAGCCCCAAACUGAAAACCCCCUCCAGCCCCUCCUCCUCAGGGCUUUGUUCCUUUCCCGGGCCAGGUGGUCACCUGAUUCCUUUGUUCUCCAACCCUUCAGCUCUCACCUUGCAGGGGGGAAGGGCCCAGGCCAUCAGUUGCCAGGAAACAGGGUGUCGGCCAUUCUCUGUGUCCAGACCCCUGCACACACCUGCCCUCUAGGGCUCUGCAAUGAUCAUACACCCUUACCCCACCACCUAGAUACUUAAGAACUGCAUGGGGAAACUGAGGCACCCCCACACUAUUCAGAGGAAACAUUAAGAACAGUCCCACUUCAUCACAUCUCCCCCCCCUUCGAGAUCGAACUGAGCGGGGUCACUUUAGCCGGUGACCUGGGGAAGUUCGAAGCCACCAACGUUCCCAUGGAUGCCCCAGCAUCUCUCCCAUUCCUUGGUAGGAGUUACACCAGGCCCUUCCAGUUUCACACCCUCCCUUAGGUCAGGGGUGGUCGAUAGCACUCGCAGGCCGCAUGUGGGAAGGUUUAUGCAGCCCAUGCCCCUUGGCCACCCCAAGAAUGUCUCCCCAUUGACCAUCACCUUCUGCUCCCACUGGAGGUCCGAGGGGCCUGGCCCCAGGAAACUCCACACAGUCAUAUAGGUUGGGGUCAGGAGUGGGAGCCUGUCCACAUCCCCAACCAUCUGGCUGACGGAGUCUAUGGCCUUGGGACCCAGCAAGGGAGCUAGACACCGGGGCUUUUCCGCAGGGUCCCCCUGGUUCAAAUCGCCAGCCUGCUCAAAGGCAGUGAGGUGGCAUCCACACCCCCCCUCCUUAACCAGGGGCAGCAAUUUAGUCUCGAGGUUCCCUGCGGAACUGGCCCCCCGGGAUCUAUCCCCACUCACCCUGGGAGGUCCCCUAGGCCUCUCCGCCCCACCACCGCCAGUUCAUGCUGCUGCUGCUUCUGCAGCUCUUUCUCGGGCUCUCGCUGUCUCCCACGGUCCUCUUGCUCUCUCGGACUCAGCUCCAAUCCCGUCC